CACCCCUUGGUGAAGAUAAGCAAAUUUGGGGAGCGGGUUAGUACACCUCUGCGGAGGCGCUGGAAAGCCCGUACAGCUAAAAGGAG
This 86-nucleotide non-coding RNA is filed under the name unclassified sequences. The record is from Rfam.